AACCAACAGGGAUUGCCUUAGUAGCGGCGAGUGAAGCGGCAAAAGCUCAAAUUUGAAAUCUGGCACCUUCGGUGUCCGAGUUGUAAUUUGAAGAUUGUAACCUUGGGGUUGGCUCUUGUCUAUGUUUCUUGGAACAGGACGUCACAGAGGGUGAGAAUCCCGUGCGAUGAGAUGCCCAAUCCUAUGUAAGGUGCUUUCGAAGAGUCGAGUUGUUUGGGAAUGCAGCUCUAAGUGGGUGGUAAAUUCCAUCUAAAGCUAAAUAUUGGCGAGAGACCGAUAGCGAACAAGUACAGUGAUGGAAAGAUGAAAAGAACUUUGAAAAGAGAGUGAAAAAGUACGUGAAAUUGUUGAAAGGGAAGGGUUUGAGAUCAGACUCGAUAUUUUGUGAGCCUUGCCUUUGUGGCGGGGUGACCCGCAGCUUAUCGGGCCAGCAUCGGUUUGGGCGGUAGGAUAAUGGCGUAGGAAUGUGACUUUGCUUCGGUGAAGUGUUAUAGCCUGCGUUGAUGCUGC
This 510-nucleotide ribosomal RNA is filed under the name Meyerozyma caribbica. RNAcentral's name for it is "LSU rRNA". It matches the Rfam family "Eukaryotic large subunit ribosomal RNA", at positions 63 to 578 of the family's 3401-position model. The record is from RNAcentral. Lineage: Eukaryota; Fungi; Ascomycota; Pichiomycetes; Serinales; Debaryomycetaceae.